This 1482-nucleotide ribosomal RNA is filed under the name uncultured prokaryote. RNAcentral describes it as "partial 16S ribosomal RNA". It matches the Rfam family "Bacterial small subunit ribosomal RNA". The record is from RNAcentral.
GAGUUUGAUCCUGGCUCAGGAUGAACGCUAGCGUCAGUUAACACAUGCAAGUCGAGGGGUAACAGGAGUAGCUUGCUACUUGCUGACGACCGGCGCACGGGUGCGUAACGCGUAUACAAUCUACCUUUUGCUGAGGGAUAGCCCAGAGAAAUUUGGAUUAAGACCUCAUGGUAUAUAGGAAUGGCAUCAUUCUUAUAUUACAAAGGUUACGGCAAAAGAUGAGUAUGCGUUCUAUUAGCUAGAUGGUGUGGUAACGGCACACCAUGGCAACGAUAGAUAGGGGCCCUGAGAGGGGGAUCCCCCACACUGGUACUGAGACACGGACCAGACUCCUACGGGAGGCAGCAGUGAGGAAUAUUGGACAAUGGAGGCAACUCUGAUCCAGCCAUGCCGCGUGCAGGAAGACUGCCCUAUGGGUUGUAAACUGCUUUUAUACAGGAAGAAACACUCCCUCGUGAGGGAGCUUGACGGUACUGUAAGAAUAAGGAUCGGCUAACUCCGUGCCAGCAGCCGCGGUAAUACGGAGGAUCCAAGCGUUAUCCGGAAUCAUUGGGUUUAAAGGGUCCGUAGGUGGAUAAUUAAGUCAGAGGUGAAAUCCUGCAGCUCAACUGUAGAAUUGCCUUUGAUACUGGUUAUCUUGAGUUAUUAUGAAGUAGUUAGAAUAUGUAGUGUAGCGGUGAAAUGCAUAGAUAUUACAUAGAAUACCAAUUGCGAAGGCAGAUUACUAAUAAUAUACUGACACUGAUGGACGAAAGCGUGGGGAGCGAACAGGAUUAGAUACCCUGGUAGUCCACGCCGUAAACGAUGGAUACUAGCUGUUCGGAUUUAUCUGAGUGGCUAAGCGAAAGUGAUAAGUAUCCCACCUGGGGAGUACGUUCGCAAGAAUGAAACUCAAAGGAAUUGACGGGGGCCCGCACAAGCGGUGGAGCAUGUGGUUUAAUUCGAUAAUACGCGAGGAACCUUACCAGGGCUUAAAUGUAGAUUGACAGGACUAGAGAUAGUUUUUCCUUCGGGCAAUUUACAAGGUGCUGCAUGGUUGUCGUCAGCUCGUGCCGUGAGGUGUCAGGUUAAGUCCUAUAACGAGCGCAACCCCUGUCGUUAGUUGCCAGCGAGUGAAGUCGGGAACUCUAACGGGACUGCCGGUGCAAACCGCGAGGAAGGUGGGGAUGACGUCAAAUCAUCACGGCCCUUACGUCCUGGGCCACACACGUGCUACAAUGGCCGGUACAGAGGGCAGCCACCCCGCAAGGGGGAGCGAAUCCUUAAAGCCGGUCUCAGUUCGGAUCGGGGUCUGCAACUCGGCCCCGUGAAGCUGGAAUCGCUAGUAAUCGGAUAUCAGCCAUGAUCCGGUGAAUACGUUCCCGGGCCUUGUACACACCGCCCGUCAAGCCAUGGAAGCUGGGGGUGCCUGAAGUCGGUCACCGCAAGGAGCGGCCUAGGGUAAAACCAGUAACUGGGGCUAAGUCGUAACAAGGUAGCCGU